GAACUAACGCUAGCGAUGGCCCUAACACAUGCAAGUCGAACGGAAAGGCCCCUUCGGGGGUACUAAAGUGGCGAACGGGUGAGUAACAGGUGGAUAAUCUGCCUUCUGGCGGGGGAUAACGGUUGGAAACGACCGCUAAUACCGCAUGUCAUUGCAAGAUCUCCGGGUCUUGCAAAAAAAGACGGCGCUUCGGCGUCACCAGAAGAUGGGUCCGCCCCCCAUUAGCUAGUUGGUGUGAUAAUAGCGCACCAAGGCUGUGAUGGGUAGCCGAGCUGAGAGGUUGAUCGGCCACACUGGAACUGAGACACGGUCCAGACACCUACGGGUGGCAGCAGUAGGGAAUAUUGCGCAAUGGGCGAAAGCCUGACGCAGCCAUGCCGCGUGGAUGAUGAAGGCCUUCGGGUCGUAAAGUCCUUUUCUGAGGGAAGAACAAGUGGGGAAGGAAAUGUCCCCGCCCUGACGGUACCUUAGGAAUAAGCAACGGCUAACUCCGUGCCAGCAGCCGCGGUAAUACGGAGGUUGCAAGCGUUGUUCGGAAUUACUGGGCGUAAAGGGAGCGCAGGCGGCCAAGUCAGUCUGAAGUGAAAGUCCGGGGCUCAACCCCGGAAGUGCUUCGGAUACUACUUGGCUUGAGUACGUGAGAGGUGAGUGGAAUUUCAGGUGAAGCGGUGAAAUGCGUAGAUAUCUGAAGGAACAUCGGUGGCGAAAGCGGCUCACUGGCACGAAACUGACGCUGAGGCUCGAAAGCGUGGGGAGCGAACGGGAUUAGAUACCCCGGUAGUCCACGCCGUAAACGUUGUGCACUAGGUGUGGGAGGUAUCGACCCCUCCCGUGCCGCAGCUAACGCAUUAAGUGCACCGCCUGGGGAGUACGGUCGCAAGACUGAAACUCAAAGGAAUUGACGGGGGCCCGCACAAGCGGUGGAGCAUGUGGUUUAAUUCGAGGCAACGCGAAGAACCUUACCCAGCCUUGACAUCCCGUGACCGCCAUGGAAACAUGGUUUUCUCUUCGGAGACACGGUGACAGGUGUUGCAUGGCUGUCGUCAGCUCGUGUCGUGAGAUGUUGGGUUAAGUCCCGCAACGAGCGCAACCCUUGUCCUUAGUUACCAGCGGUUCGGCCGGGCACUCUAAGGAUACUGCCGGUGAUAAGCCGGAGGAAGGUGGGGACGACGUCAAGUCAUCAUGGCCCUUACGCCUGGGGCCACACACGUGCUACAAUGGCCGGUACAAUGAGCUGCUAAGCCGCGAGGUGGAGCGAAUCUCAAAAAGCCGGUCUCAGUUCGGAUAGGAGUCUGCAAUUCGACUCCUUGAAGUCGGAAUCGCUAGUAAUCGCGUAUCAGCUACGACGCGGUGAAUACGUUCCCGGGCCU
RNAcentral lists this ribosomal RNA (1370 nucleotides) under uncultured prokaryote. RNAcentral describes it as "partial 16S ribosomal RNA". It matches the Rfam family "Bacterial small subunit ribosomal RNA", at positions 27 to 1381 of the family's 1533-position model. The record is from RNAcentral.